Molecule: ribosomal RNA, 490 nt
Filed under: uncultured bacterium
Lineage: Bacteria
Description: partial 16S ribosomal RNA
Rfam family: Bacterial small subunit ribosomal RNA
Source: RNAcentral
AUUGAACGCUGGCGGCAGGCCUAACACAUGCAAGUCGAACGGUAACAGAAAGCAGCUUGCCGCUUUGCUGACGAGUGGCGGACGGGUGAGUAAUGUCUGGGAAACUGCCUGAUGGAGGGGGAUAACUACUGGAAACGGUAGCUAAUACCGCAUAACGUCGCAAGACCAAAGAGGGGGACCUUCGGGCCUCUUGCCAUCGGAUGUGCCCAGAUGGGAUUAGCUAGUAGGUGGGGUAAAGGCUCACCUAGGCGACGAUCCCUAGCUGGUCUGAGAGGAUGACCAGCCACACUGGAACUGAGACACGGUCCAGACUCCUACGGGAGGCAGCAGUGGGGAAUAUUGCACAAUGGGCGCAAGCCUGAUGCAGCCAUGCCGCGUGUAUGAAGAAGGCCUUCGGGUUGUAAAGUACUUUCAGCGGGGAGGAAGGGAGUAAAGUUAAUACCUUUGCUCAUUGACGUUACCCGCAGAAGAAGCACCGGCUAACUCCGUG